RNAcentral lists this ribosomal RNA (119 nucleotides) under Lepisosteus oculatus (spotted gar). The record is from RNAcentral. Lineage: Eukaryota; Metazoa; Chordata; Actinopteri; Semionotiformes; Lepisosteidae.
GCCAGCAGCCAUAUCACCCUGUAAUUCACAACUGGCAGCCCACUAAAGCUCAGCAGGUGUGAGCCUGGUCAGUACCUGGAUGGGAGUCCUCCUGGGAAAUACUAAGGUUGCUGCUAGAA